Sus scrofa (pig) is the source of this 2396-nucleotide non-coding RNA. NCBI's taxonomy places the organism in Eukaryota, Metazoa, Chordata, Mammalia, Artiodactyla, Suidae. The record is from RefSeq and is a predicted model, not a curated record.
CGAAAAGAAACGCCUGGUAUGCGAAACAAAAAGAUCCGGUGAAUAUCUUCUGCGCAAGCGUCAACAUUUCCGGAGGUAGUUUCCCAUCGGAAGACGAUAGAAAACGGACCGACGCCGGAUGUUGCUGUCGGGUCCGACUGGGGUUGCCCCGGCUGGUAGGCGGGUCGCGCAGGCGCAGAGAGUACCGGCCACGCCAGUUGAGGCGGCCUCAGGUGAGAGCGGGAUGCGGCGACGCCCCUGAGUGAUCAUGGCAGCGGCGGACGAGCUGGCCUUCCACGCAGAGUUCGAGGAAGCCACUAAUUUGCUGGCCCAGACCCCAGAAGCGACCACCACCAGAAGUGAUCAGUUGACCCCCCAGGGGCAUGUGGCUGUGGCCAUGGGCUCAGGGGGCAGCUAUGGAACUGAGGAUGAUGCAGAGGAGAGUGACAAGGCAGCGCUCCUACAGGAGGAGAAGCAGCAGCCUGGUUUCUGGACCUUUGGCUACUAUCAGACAUUCUUUGACGUGGACACUUCACAGGUCCUGGACCGGAUUAAAGGCUCACUGCUGCCCCGGCCUGGCCACAACUUUGUACGGCACCAUCUGCGGAAUCGGCCAGACCUGUAUGGCCCCUUCUGGAUCUGUGCCACACUGGCCUUUGUCUUGGCUGUCACCGGCAAUCUGACCCUGGUGCUGGCCCAGAAGAGGGACCCUUCCAUCCACUACAGCCCGCAGUUCCACAAAGGUAAGCAAAUUGGGCAAGGCCUGGUACCUGGCGGGCCCAGGGGUGCCCCAGGGGGUGAUGACCUGCCUUGCCCCACAGUGACCGUGGCUGGCAUCACCAUCUACUGCUACGCAUGGCUGGUGCCGCUGGCACUGUGGGGCUUCUUGCAGUGGCGCAAAGGUGUCCGAGAGCGCAUGGGGCCCUACACCUUCCUGGAGACAGUGUGCGUCUACGGCUACUCCCUGUUUGUCUUCAUCCCCACUGUGGUGAGUGGGGCCCAGGGAUGGGCCACAGGUGCCCUGGGGACGAGACCUGGUAGCCAACUGUCUGUCGCCUCCAGGUCUUAUGGCUCGUCCCCAUCCCGUGGCUGCAGUGGCUCUUUGGGGCACUUGCCCUGGCCCUCUCAGCCGCUGGCCUGGUGUUCACCCUCUGGCCGGUGGUCCGCGAGGACACCAGGUUGGCAGCCGCAGUGCUGCUCUCUGCCGUGGUGCUGCUCCACGCCCUCCUGGCCAUGGGCUGUAAGGUACCAGUCUCGGGGAAGUCAUAGGUUGGGCCUUGGGUUUUGGGGUUGGCUUGCGGGCUCUGAUGCUGACCUCAGGGGAUCUUGGGUCAGUUUUACUUCUUCCAGCCGCUGCCUCCGGAGCUCCUAGAACCUCCCCACCAGGCCACAGCCCAGCCCCCAAACAUACCGCUGCCACCCACCCUACCAAAGUCCAUGGCGACCUAGGAAGGCUGGAGCCCACAGGCCCAUCAGGAGGGGAUGCCUCUGCCUGCCCUGCCCCCAAGACGGUGACUGAAGGCACCCCUGGAACCUCAAGAUCAUUCUGCUACUUUCCAGACUUUUCUUACAAAGCAAACACUUUUAUUUUCUAUGCAAAGGUGAUUCAGAGAAUUUAUAUAAAGGCGGGAAGAGGGACAGAGCAGGGAGCUUCCAGGGCAGCCAUCGCCCCAUGGGCUACCUGCCAGGACGGGUGGGCAGCAAAAGGGCCACCCCAGCCUUGGCUGUGCCUGCUCUCACUGGGGUGCCCAGCUUGUGGGCCUUGGGCCUAGCUCCACCACAUCUGAGUUUGCGGGUGUUAGAAACGGGGAGAAGUAGAAGAAAACUGCCUGUGCUGAAACAUACAUUUCCUUGUUUAUUUUGCUUUUCUUUUUUGGAGGGGUCCCUGCAAGGCCCCUUCCCAGACUGGGGAGGGACCAAAAUGCCAUUAUAGUGGGGACUUGAGCAUCUACAAAUACUGAAGGGGACACACAGGCCUAACAUUAGCUACACGGAAAAAGGACGCCUUUCACCACAGACCCUUGAGGUUUGUGUCUGCCCCAAGUGGCUGAUGGUGACCCUUCCCUCCAGGGCCCACAGGGCCACCUGUUCUAGCUCUGGGUGCGGGUGGGGGUGGGAGACCUGCAGGGGCUCAGGGACAGGACAGCAGCAAGAGGCAGGGGCUGAGGACGGAGGGCCUUCCCGACAGCCGGGUGGGUUGUACAUUCAAGUGUGAGGUGAACCCUUUGGUGGGAGGGGGCCGAGGGGUCCAGAGGCCCAGCCCUGCCCCAUCCUGCAGACCCGCAGGGCUGCCCCUCGCCACUGAGCCUCUGAGUCGGGGAGAGGGGCUGCUGGCUCGGCCCGGCCGGCCUGAUUUCUCAGAGGGUCUGUGGAUUGACACUGGUUCUUUUCGUAAAAAAAUAAAAUUAAAAAAAGCA